Molecule: ribosomal RNA, 496 nt
Filed under: uncultured bacterium
Lineage: Bacteria
Description: partial 16S ribosomal RNA
Rfam family: Bacterial small subunit ribosomal RNA
Source: RNAcentral
GAUGAACGCUGGCGGCGUGCCUAAUACAUGCAAGUCGAGCGAACAGACGAGGAGCUUGCUCCUCUGACGUUAGCGGCGGACGGGUGAGUAACACGUGGAUAACCUACCUAUAAGACUGGGAUAACUUCGGGAAACCGGAGCUAAUACCGGAUAAUAUAUUGAACCGCAUGGUUCAAUAGUGAAAGACGGUUUUGCUGUCACUUAUAGAUGGAUCCGCGCCGCAUUAGCUAGUUGGUAAGGUAACGGCUUACCAAGGCAACGAUGCGUAGCCGACCUGAGAGGGUGAUCGGCCACGCUGGAACUGAGACACGGUCCAGACUCCUACGGGAGGCAGCAGUAGGGAAUCUUCCGCAAUGGGCGAAAGCCUGACGGAGCAACGCCGCGUGAGUGAUGAAGGUCUUCGGAUCGUAAAACUCUGUUAUUAGGGAAGAACAAAUGUGUAAGUAACUAUGCACGUCUUGACGGUACCUAAGCAGAAAGCCACGGCUAACUACGU